Mycena rosella is the source of this 92-nucleotide non-coding RNA. NCBI's taxonomy places the organism in Eukaryota, Fungi, Basidiomycota, Agaricomycetes, Agaricales, Mycenaceae. The record is from the annotation of a GenBank genome assembly.
GGCCCUGUGGUGUAAUGGUUACACGUCCUUGAUUCAUUGUGCCGUGAACUUUCUGUAAGAGGGAAUUCCCUGUUCGAAUCAGGGCGGGACCG